RNAcentral lists this ribosomal RNA (467 nucleotides) under uncultured bacterium. Its description in RNAcentral is "partial 16S ribosomal RNA". It matches the Rfam family "Bacterial small subunit ribosomal RNA", at positions 28 to 507 of the family's 1533-position model. The record is from RNAcentral.
GACGAACGCUGGCGGCGUGCUUAACGCAUGCAAGUCGAACGAAAGGACCUUCUUUUGUUGGGUUCUCGGGUGGCGAACGGGGGAGGAACACGGGAGUAACCUGCCCUUGCCUUUUGGAGAACUUUAAGGAACUGGGGCUUAUUCCGGUAAGGCAUUCCUCCUUCAUGGGGGGGGGUGGGAAGUUUCGGCGGUUGGGGAUUGACUCGCGGCUUAUCAGCUUGGUUGUGGGGUAGUGGCAUACCAAGGCUUUGACGGGUAGCCGGCCUGGGAGGGUGACCGGCCACAUGGGGACUGAGAUACGGCCCAGACUCCUACGGGAGGCAGCAGUGGGGAAUAUUGCACAAUGGGCGGAAGCCUGAGGCAGCAACGCCGCGUGCGGGAUGACGGCCUUCGGGUUGUAAACCGCUGUCGCCUGUGACGAAGCGUGAGUGACGGUAAUGGGUAAAGAAGCACCGGCUAACUACGUG